RNAcentral lists this ribosomal RNA (267 nucleotides) under uncultured Lactococcus sp. RNAcentral's name for it is "partial 16S ribosomal RNA". It matches the Rfam family "Bacterial small subunit ribosomal RNA", at positions 415 to 674 of the family's 1533-position model. Lineage: Bacteria; Bacillati; Bacillota; Bacilli; Lactobacillales; Streptococcaceae. The record is from RNAcentral.
UUUUCGGAUCGUAAAACUCUGUUGUUAGAGAAGAACGUCAGUGAGAGUGGAAAGUUCACUGAGUGACGGUAUCUAACCAGAAAGGGACGGCUAACUACGUGCCAGCAGCCGCGGUAAUACGUAGGUCCCGAGCGUUGUCCGGAUUUAUUGGGCGUAAAGCGAGCGCAGGUGGUUUAAUAAGUCUGAUGUAAAAGGCAGUGGCUCAACCAUUGUGUGCAUUGGAAACUGUUAGACUUGAGUGCAGUAGAGGAGAGUGGAAUUCCAUGU